Molecule: ribosomal RNA, 289 nt
Filed under: uncultured Gammaproteobacteria bacterium
Lineage: Bacteria; Pseudomonadati; Pseudomonadota; Gammaproteobacteria
Description: partial 16S ribosomal RNA
Source: RNAcentral
CUACAGGGGUAUCUAAUCCUGUUUGCUCCCCACGCUUUCGCGCCUCAGUGUCAGUAAUGGUCCAGAAAGCCGCCUUCGCCACUGGUGUUCCUUCCGAUAUCUACGCAUUUCACCGCUACACCGGAAAUUCCACUUUCCUCUACCAUACUCUAGAUACCCAGUAUUGAGUGCAGUUCCCAGGUUAAGCCCGGGGCUUUCACACCCAACUUAAGUAUCCACCUACGCGCGCUUUACGCCCAGUAAUUCCGAUUAACGCUUGCACUCUCUGUAUUACCGCGGCUGCUGGCAC